GAACAGAGCUCAGCUCGAAAAGAAAAACAAAUGGAAGAGAAAAAAAAAACAAGUUUGUGAAUUGCAUAACUAUCAUCUUUCGCUUAAUUUGGUAAGUUGUUGAAAAUUUCUUGCGAUAUUCUUUAAGAGAACCGUCAGUCCCUAUCUCUCUACAACCAGUUACGGAGCGAUACAAUAAAAAUACAUUGCCUGGUUACUCCAAGGGCAAAGCGUCGUGGUUACAGCCUUACAGGUUCUAUGCCACCUGUAGUGAUGUUUUCCUGUUUCAACGGUUGCUUCAAUUCCUUAACACUGAGCUAUCUGUGCCCAUCACAGAAAUCCAAUUACAAAACAGAACAAAUGUAGGUAUACAACUACAAAUUUCAACUUAUGUAAUAACCAUGUCAGCUUCAUGCUAACCAGUUUUAACAUAAAGAACAUUUCUUUGACCAUGAGAUGUUAAAGGACAACAGGUUGUUGAAUCUUAUGAAAAGGCAGUCUAUGAAGCCAGUGACACCCAAAUAAUAAAUGUAUGGAGUUCACAAUGUAAAGUAACAGUAUAAAUAGGCUAGCCCAUAGAGCCCAAACAGAAGGACUAUUCCGAGAAAAUUAAGCUUCAAUCUGACAAAAUUUUCGUUUUUCAUGUUCUAUUUUCAUGUAUUUGAUUUAAAGCGCUUAAAUGUAUAAAUGAUUCAAAAACUUA
Long non-coding RNA from Daphnia magna, 682 nucleotides. RefSeq lists it as uncharacterized. The record is from RefSeq and is a predicted model, not a curated record. The transcript has 3 exons. Lineage: Eukaryota; Metazoa; Arthropoda; Branchiopoda; Diplostraca; Daphniidae.